UUUCAAGCACACAAACAAAUUCAUUAAAUAAUAUAUUCAUUGAUUUAUAUUGGAAAUAUCAUUCGAAUUAAAAUAUCCUACUAUAACAUCAUUUAAAUUAGGCACUUAAGUCUAGGAUACUAUUGUGUAAAUGGGAUAAUAACGUUGGUAUAUUUGUUUGCACAUUUUCUUAGUAUAUUCCAGUUCUGGUUAUAUUGUACGCAUUUUCAUAGCUUUACUCAUAAGCUAACUGUAUACACUAUGUACAAGUAUGGGUUAUGGUUAGUAAUACUAUUUGCAGCAAUGUUUGUCCUUGCGAUGCUGUUCCCGAUGCCGUUUUUCAACGGGAAGCAAGUGUACUAGCAUUAUCAAGUUUAGCAUCGCGGCAAAUAAAGCUGCGAAUUACAUAAUGUGUAAAGAAACGCAACGUAAGAUGCAUGCAGACUAUUAAGGGCUAAACUAGCAUACAUUUGCCUUGCAUAAAUUGUAACUUAUCAUCUAAUUUCAUAUGCAUUAGAAACUAUUAAAGAUAUUACCUUCAAUUUGCGUCCAAGAAUUUGAUACUUCUGAAGUUAGAGCGGGCAGCCUUGAGGAUGGACCAUACAUAACUUGACUACUGUUCUCUGGAUCUUAAUUAUAGCCAUAUUAUUAUUUUAGGAAGAGUUUCUAAGAACAUAAUAUGUAAUAAUACAUAAGACGUUUACAAGCGAGCAUAAGUAGAUAAAGUAAAAAUAUGAUAUGCGAGUAACAGCACACAAUAAGAAAAACGUUUCGUCGAGAUAUGAAAAUUAUUAAUGUAUGAAUUAAA
Long non-coding RNA from Bombus pyrosoma, 787 nucleotides. RefSeq lists it as uncharacterized. The transcript has 3 exons. The record is from RefSeq and is a predicted model, not a curated record. NCBI's taxonomy places the organism in Eukaryota, Metazoa, Arthropoda, Insecta, Hymenoptera, Apidae.